UGGGGAAUAUUGCACAAUGGGGGAAACCCUGAUGCAGCAACGCCGCGUGAGUGAAGAAGUAUUUCGGUAUGUAAAGCUCUAUCAGCAGGGAAGAUAAUGACGGUACCUGACUAAGAAGCUCCGGCUAAAUACGUGCCAGCAGCCGCGGUAAUACGUAUGGAGCAAGCGUUAUCCGGAUUUACUGGGUGUAAAGGGUGCGUAGGCGGCAAGGCAAGUCAGAUGUGAAAGACCGGGGCUCAACUCCGGGGCUGCAUUUGAAACUGUUUUGCUGGAGUCCAGGAGAGGCAGGCGGAAUUCCUAGUGUAGCGGUGAAAUGCGUAGAUAUUAGGAGGAACACCAGUGGCGAAGGCGGCCUGCUGGACUGGUACUGACGCUGAGGCACGAAAGCGUGGGGAGCAAACAGGAUUAGAUACCC
Molecule: ribosomal RNA, 415 nt
Filed under: uncultured bacterium
Lineage: Bacteria
Description: bacterial SSU rRNA
Rfam family: Bacterial small subunit ribosomal RNA
Source: RNAcentral